UACGUAGGGGGCAAGCGUUGUCCGGAAUCAUUGGGCGUAAAGAGCGUGUAGGCGGCCAGAUAGGUCUGCUGUGAAAACUCGAGGCUCAACCUCGAGAUGUCGGCGGAAACCAUUUGGCUAGAGUCCGGAAGAGGAAAGUGGAAUUCCUGGUGUAGCGGUGAAAUGCGCAGAUAUCAGGAAGAACACCCGUGGCGAAGGCGGCUUUCUGGGACGGUACUGACGCUGAGACGCGAAAGCGUGGGGAGCGAACAGG
RNAcentral lists this ribosomal RNA (253 nucleotides) under uncultured bacterium. Its description in RNAcentral is "partial 16S ribosomal RNA". It matches the Rfam family "Bacterial small subunit ribosomal RNA", at positions 524 to 776 of the family's 1533-position model. The record is from RNAcentral.